AUGCUCGAGUCCACUUCUGAAGAUAACUGCAGUACACGCAUUUUAAUACAGGACAGUGCAUGGCAUGUUUCCUAUGAGGCUUUUCACUUUCAGCAUAAUGAGAGGGAUCCCAAUUCAGCCUUAAACUGGUUUGCUCAUGCCAAAACCACUCACGACACUCAUCAUGCUACCGUGGUUGAAUAUUUUAUCCAUCUGGUGAGAACUUUGUUGAUUAUGAUUGAGCUGGAGCAGUGCACUAACCCAGGCUUAUUUGUUAAAUGGUUUGUCGAGUCUGGGAGCAGCAAAAACAGCAAGGUUGUUUGGCAAACAUCUACGGAAUAUUUCUGGAGAGUGUGUGUUAUGGGGGCCCUGAUUAUGCCAUUUCUAUUUAAUCUCAUGAGUAACUUGUGCUCAGCAGGAGGUAUCAUGUUCACCUCAUGUGAUUCUUUUAAUUUUUUGAGAAAGGGUGAUCACCUUAACAGUCAGGAGAGCACCACGGCUACCUCUGCUUUGACAUUAAACACUUCCAUUCAGUUCAUGUUCUCUGUGAGAGUUGAGCGCUUGGCCCCCCUGUGCGAUAACGUGCAUUCAUCUAGUGACCAAGCUGCAGAAAAUGGUACUGACAAGAGAAAAGUUCUGCUGACUACUCCAUAUGAGGUAUGGCUUACCAAGCUCCGACCAAGACCAUGGCCAUGGUUCGAGUUUACUCCGGAGACCAUUCAACCUAGGCUAGACUUGGUUUCACUUUCAGGUCAUUGCCGCAAAACUUGUGUGGUGUUCGAGCAAUGCUUUUGUAGUCAGCUCUAUUUACGGAUUGAACACUUGAGGCUCAUGUGUGAUGAAUUGCCCAAUACUCCUGGAAUGGUCAGCUUGGAAUUCACUGUCUUUGCUAUCUAUCUGGCUUUGCUGCUACUCGCUUCUACUGAUAUUAGUCACACUAGAUUCUCCCGCUCAAGCACAACUGUUACAAACCUGAAGCUGCAGCUUAUUGCCUUUUCAGAUGAGUCACUGCAUGUUGGUCUGUUAUUACACAAGACACAUGGCCAGCAACAUAUGAGCAAUCUACAGGCUAGUGGCGAUGAGUGGAAACUCCUGAAGCCUAAUUUCGUUCAAGCUAAUUUUGUCCCCUAUUCGUAUGCAUUUCUCACUGGGAACCAAUUCAUGAUGGUUGUUGAGCUGUUGUUGCAUCCUGUUGGGCAGAUAAGUGACAUGGUUCAAAGGUGGAGAAGCCAAUAUCAUACAGGGGAGCGCAACAAAAUCACUUACAACUAUGGCAUGUGCGUUGGCAUCCUAGUGUACCUUGUCAAGCUAUUGGUGGUGCUUCUCUUGGGGGCCAGAUGCAGGUCUCACUACUACUCUGUUUUGGUUAGCCCAUAA
Molecule: ribosomal RNA, 1356 nt
Filed under: Triticum aestivum (bread wheat)
Lineage: Eukaryota; Viridiplantae; Streptophyta; Magnoliopsida; Poales; Poaceae
Description: partial small subunit ribosomal RNA
Source: RNAcentral